Molecule: unclassified non-coding RNA, 661 nt
Filed under: Hevea brasiliensis (rubber tree)
Lineage: Eukaryota; Viridiplantae; Streptophyta; Magnoliopsida; Malpighiales; Euphorbiaceae
Source: RNAcentral
GCACUGAGAGUCGUACUUGAGGUAGUGGAGUGGCCAUCAUCAUCAUUUUUAGGGGACAAGGUGUGUCUCAAGACCUUCUUGUUACCACCAUUCAACUGCAGUGCUCCGGAGGUAGUGCCAUUGGUAGUUGCAUCAACUGACAUGGAUUUCACAUGCAAUGAUCGCCUAGCAAUUGACAGAGCAGCCAACUUAGUCUGCUUGGCAGGAAGCCCACCUGCAUUUGCACCUUCAGAGCCAUUCUGGUCGGAAUUUUUCACUUCUGUCUUCUUCGGCUUCACAAAGGUUGUGCUCUUCCUCAAACUACUCGCCGGCACACUUUUGGCAGGGAAGGAGAUACUCUUAGACAGAACUGCUUUCACAUUCCCAGAUACCACUGCCUCAGCAUUCCGCGCACCUCCAUCCUUCAUCCCCUUCGUGUCCGGCAACCGAACAAGCCGUUUCGAGGCUUUGUUUCCAGCAACAGCCACAGGUUUUUCCUCUCCCGUAACUGCAGGUCCCAGACUCUCAACUUUCGGCGGCUCCUCCGGGGUCCCAUUGGCUUGCAGGACCCCGGUGUCAACGAUCUCAUUCUCCUUGUCUACGUUCAAACCUGGGCCAUUGACAAGCUCCGUCUCACCCCCAACAGCAGCCUCCAUCUCCAUAAACCUAAAACCAGCUAUCU